Molecule: ribosomal RNA, 495 nt
Filed under: uncultured bacterium
Lineage: Bacteria
Description: partial 16S ribosomal RNA
Rfam family: Bacterial small subunit ribosomal RNA
Source: RNAcentral
GACGAACGCUGGCGGCGUGCCUAAUACAUGCAAGUAGAACGCUGAAGGAGUAGCUUGCUCUUCUGGAUGAGUUGCGAACGGGUGAGUAACACGUAGGUAACCUGCCUGGUAGCGUGGGAUAACUAUUGGAAACGAUAGCUAAUACCGCAUAACAGUACAUGUUGCAUGACAUUUACUUAAAAGUUUCAAUUGCAUCACUACCACAUGGACCUGCGUUGUAUGAGCUAGUUGGUGGGGUAACGGCUCACUAAGGCGACUAUACAUCGCCGACCUGAGAUGGGGAUCGGCCACACUGGGAGUGAGACACGGCACAGAGUCACAGGGGAGGGAGCAGGAGGGAAUCGUCGGGAAGGGGUGGAAGUCAGAGCGAGAAACGCCGAGGGCGUGAAGAAGGUUGUCGGGUCGUAAAGGUCUGUUGUAAGAGAAGAACGCGUGUGAGAGUGGAAAGUUCAGACUGUGACGGUAACUUAUCAGAAAGGGACGGCUAACUACGUG